This 438-nucleotide long non-coding RNA is filed under the name Phoenix dactylifera (date palm). RNAcentral's name for it is "long non-coding RNA (PDAC_LNC003998)". Lineage: Eukaryota; Viridiplantae; Streptophyta; Magnoliopsida; Arecales; Arecaceae. The record is from RNAcentral.
GGGCAUGAAACAUGACACUUCAAUUAUCUUAUCACAGGCGAGAAAUAUGUCUAUGGUUUAGUCCAAGGCCGAAUAUAACUUAAUAUAAUUAAUAUGCAUUCUUGAAAUAAAUGGAUGGGUGAAGGCCCUAGAUUAGCUAUGUUAUCUUGGAUUGCCGGUGAUAAACUAGAGCGUGAUAUUGUGGAUAGCCUUGUCACAAUAGGAACGUGGUACUAUUGAUUGCCUUUGGUCAAGUGGGAGUGUCCGACAUCUCGGUCGGUUCAAUCAAGUUAAUUUUAUCUGAUUAUAGUUAAACUAGGGUACAAAUCGUUCAAGAAAAAUUGGAGGUGACCAAAUCUAAUAGUGUCUGGUAAGAGCUAAGGUGGGGGUUGGUAUAGUUUCCGACGGCCAUGGAUCAAAACCCCCAUCAUUAAGGUUGAUCAAAGUCAUUGAUAAGAG